This 497-nucleotide ribosomal RNA is filed under the name uncultured bacterium. Its description in RNAcentral is "partial 16S ribosomal RNA". It matches the Rfam family "Bacterial small subunit ribosomal RNA", at positions 28 to 507 of the family's 1533-position model. The record is from RNAcentral.
GAUGAACGCUGGCGGCGUGCCUAAUACAUGCAAGUCGAGCGAACAGACGAGGAGCUUGCUCCUCUGACGUUAGCGGCGGACGGGUGAGUAACACGUGGAUAACCUACCUAUAAGACUGGGAUAACUUCGUGAAACCGGUGCUAAUACCGGCUCAUAUAUUCAACCGCAUGGUUCAAUAGUGAAAGACGGUUUUGCUGUCACUUAUAGCUGGAUCCGCGCCGCAUUAGCUAGUUGGUAAGGUAACGGCUUACCAAGGCAACGAUGCGUAGCCGACCUGAGAGGGUGAUCGGCCACACUGGAACUGAGACACGGUCCAGACUCCUACGGGAGGCAGCAGUAGGGAAUCUUCCGCAAUGGGCGAAAGCCUGACGGAGCAACGCCGCGUGAGUGAUGAAGGUCUUCGGAUCGUAAAACUCUGUUAUUAGGGAAGAACAAAUGUGUAAGUAACUAUGCACGUCUUGACGGUACCUAAUCAGAAAGCCACGGCUAACUACGUG